UGUGAGCUCGAUGAGUAGGGCGGGACACGUGGUAUCCUGUCUGAAUAUGGGGGGACCAUCCUCCAAGGCUAAAUACUCCUGACUGACCGAUAGUGAACCAGUACCGUGAGGGAAAGGCGAAAAGAACCCCGGCGAGGGGAGUGAAAAAGAACCUGAAACCGUGUACGUACAAGCAGUGGGAGCCUCUUUUAUGGGGUGACUGCGUACCUUUUGUAUAAUGGGUCAGCGACUUAUAUUCUGUAGCAAGGUUAACCGAAUAGGGGAGCCGAAGGGAAACCGAGUCUUAACUGGGCGUUAAGUUGCAGGGUAUAGACCCGAAACCCGGUGAUCUAGCCAUGGGCAGGUUGAAGGUUGGGUAACACUAACUGGAGGACCGAACCGACUAAUGUUGAAAAAUUAGCGGAUGACUUGUGGCUGGGGGUGAAAGGCCAAUCAAACCGGGAGAUAGCUGGUUCUCCCCGAAAGCUAUUUAGGUAGCGCCUCGUGAAUUCAUCUCCGGGGGUAGAGCACUGUUUCGGCAAGGGGGUCAUCCCGACUUACCAACCCGAUGCAAACUGCGAAUACCGGAGAAUGUUAUCACGGGAGACACACGGCGGGUGCUAACGUCCGUCGUGAAGAGGGAAACAACCCAGACCGCCAGCUAAGGUCCCAAAGUCAUGGUUAAGUGGGAAACGAUGUGGGAAGGCCCAGACAGCCAGGAUGUUGGCUUAGAAGCAGCCAUCAUUUAAAGAAAGCGUAAUAGCUCACUGGUCGAGUCGGCCUGCGCGGAAGAUGUAACGGGGCUAAACCAUGCACCGAAGCUGCGGCAGCGACGCUUAUGCGUUGUUGGGUAGGGGAGCGUUCUGUAAGCCUGUGAAGGUGUGCUGUGAGGCAUGCUGGAGGUAUCAGAAGUGCGAAUGCUGACAUAAGUAACGAUAAAGCGGGUGAAAAGCCCGCUCGCCGGAAGACCAAGGGUUCCUGUCCAACGUUAAUCGGGGCAGGGUGAGUCGACCCCUAAGGCGAGGCCGAAAGGCGUAGUCGAUGGGAAACAGGUUAAUAUUCCUGUACUUGGUGUUACUGCGAAGGGGGGACGGAGAAGGCUAUGUUGGCCGGGCGACGGUUGUCCCGGUUUAAGCGUGUAGGCUGGUUUUCCAGGCAAAUCCGGAAAAUCAAGGCUGAGGCGUGAUGACGAGGCACUACGGUGCUGAAGCAACAAAUGCCCUGCUUCCAGGAAAAGCCUCUAAGCAUCAGGUAACAUCAAAUCGUACCCCAAACCGACACAGGUGGUCAGGUAGAGAAUACCAAGGCGCUUGAGAGAACUCGGGUGAAGGAACUAGGCAAAAUGGUGCCGUAACUUCGGGAGAAGGCACGCUGAUAUGUAGGUGAAGUCCCUUGCGGAUGGAGCUGAAAUCAGUCGAAGAUACCAGCUGGCUGCAACUGUUUAUUAAAAACACAGCACUGUGCAAACACGAAAGUGGACGUAUACGGUGUGACGCCUGCCCGGUGCCGGAAGGUUAAUUGAUGGGGUCAGCGCAAGCGAAGCUCUUGAUCGAAGCCCCGGUAAACGGCGGCCGUAACUAUAACGGUCCUAAGGUAGCGAAAUUCCUUGUCGGGUAAGUUCCGACCUGCACGAAUGGCGUAAUGAUGGCCAGGCUGUCUCCACCCGAGACUCAGUGAAAUUGAACUCGCUGUGAAGAUGCAGUGUACCCGCGGCAAGACGGAAAGACCCCGUGAACCUUUACUAUAGCUUGACACUGAACAUUGAGCCUUGAUGUGUAGGAUAGGUGGGAGGCUUAGAAGUGUGGACGCCAGUCUGCAUGGAGCCGACCUUGAAAUACCACCCUUUAAUGUUUGAUGUUCUAACGUUGACCCGUAAUCCGGGUUGCGGACAGUGUCUGGUGGGUAGUUUGACUGGGGCGGUCUCCUCCUAAAGAGUAACGGAGGAGCACGAAGGUUGGCUAAUCCUGGUCGGACAU
RNAcentral lists this ribosomal RNA (1955 nucleotides) under Escherichia coli. RNAcentral describes it as "23S ribosomal RNA". It matches the Rfam family "Bacterial large subunit ribosomal RNA", at positions 398 to 2338 of the family's 2925-position model. The record is from RNAcentral. Lineage: Bacteria; Pseudomonadati; Pseudomonadota; Gammaproteobacteria; Enterobacterales; Enterobacteriaceae.